RNAcentral lists this long non-coding RNA (742 nucleotides) under Cicer arietinum (chickpea). Its description in RNAcentral is "long non-coding RNA (CARI_LNC002384)". Lineage: Eukaryota; Viridiplantae; Streptophyta; Magnoliopsida; Fabales; Fabaceae. The record is from RNAcentral.
UCCUGCUUGAUCACCAAGAAAUCUUUGUGUGGAGUUCUUACCACAGCAGCCAUUGCAGCAGCAAAUGCUUCUUCAUUCACCACAAACGAAGAAUAAGAAUAUUUAUCAUAACCACCUUCUGCAGAACUCCUCCAUAACUUCCAUUUUCUCUUACUCUUCUCCUGAAAAACCACAAACACAAUAAUAAGGGUCUACUAACAUAAGCACUUCUAAGACUCUUUGGAAGAGCUUAUGAAAAAAGUUUAGACAUUUCAGCUUAUUUCCAUAAACUUAUCUGGAAUAGUUUAUGAAAACUACUUAUGAAAACAAUUUGAUAUUAUUUUAUUUCUUUGAUAGAAAAUGGUUUAUAUAAAAAGCACUUAUUUGAUAAGUACUUGUACUAAAAGCACUUAAUUAUCCAACCAUGGUCUAAAUAAUCAUCACCAGAACCAAACCAAAAAAACACCAAGAAGAGAAGAAGAAAAAAAGAUUGUGGAGGGCUUUCUUACAGGAAAAAGUGAUUUAAACCAGCUUCCAGAACCACCCAUUUGAGAAAAGAACUUAUUUUUGCAGAGAAAAAUGCAAGAUAGUGAGAAUGUUGAUGAUGCAGUGUGUGUUAUGAGUUUGAAGGUGUUCUUGUAGAAGAAGAAAAGAAGUUUUGAAAUUUGAAAUAUCAGUGAAAAAGAAAAAGAACAAAAACAAAGAAGAAAAAACCGUAACGGAUAUGAAAACUUUUCUUUUGCUUUUUUGAUGAAUUAAUGAU